UACAGAGGGUGCAAGCGUUGUUCGGAAUUAUUGGGCGUAAAGGGCGCGUAGGCGGUGCCACAAGUCACCUGUGAAAUCUCCGGGCUUAACUCGGAGCCUGCAGGCGAAACUGUGGUGCUGGAGUGUGGGAGAGGUGCGUGGAAUUCCCGGUGUAGCGGUGAAAUGCGUAGAUAUCAGGAGGAACACCAAUGGCGAAGGCAGAUCUCUGGGCCGUAACUGACGCUGAGGAGCGAAAGCAUGGGGAGCGAACAGG
This 253-nucleotide ribosomal RNA is filed under the name uncultured bacterium. Its description in RNAcentral is "partial 16S ribosomal RNA". It matches the Rfam family "Bacterial small subunit ribosomal RNA", at positions 524 to 776 of the family's 1533-position model. The record is from RNAcentral.